UGGUAGGCUUUACUGGGAGGGUAGCCGUCUCCUGUCACCAUAAACCGGCUUCUGAUGGAGUGAAACCCUGGAACGGCAUUCGUGCGUUGGAUUGUGCUUGAUCUGUACGAUGAGGUUCUAUCCACAUGGAGGAAUGUUGCUCUCAACUGUGUCAGAUCAGGAAUGAAGCAGCACUACGGAACUUCACUCCUGCUUUGUGGGUUAUGGAACUGAGAAAGACCAAGAGCACACAAGCCAGUACAUGAACGACAAUCCAGGGGUGCCUACCA
RNAcentral lists this signal recognition particle RNA (269 nucleotides) under Candidatus Woesearchaeota archaeon. Its description in RNAcentral is "signal recognition particle sRNA". It matches the Rfam family "Archaeal signal recognition particle RNA". The record is from RNAcentral. Lineage: Archaea; Nanobdellati; Candidatus Woesearchaeota.